Molecule: ribosomal RNA, 440 nt
Filed under: uncultured bacterium
Lineage: Bacteria
Description: partial 16S ribosomal RNA
Rfam family: Bacterial small subunit ribosomal RNA
Source: RNAcentral
CCUACGGGAGGCAGCAGUAGGGAAUUUUGCGCAAUGGGCGAAAGCCUGACGCAGCAACGCCGCGUGAUCGAGACGCCCUUCGGGGUGUAAAGAUCUGUCAGUGGGGACGAAACUUGACGGUACCCACAGAGGAAGCACUGGCUAACACCGUGCCAGCAGCCGCGGUAAUACGGGGGGUGCAAGCGUUGUCCGGAAUCAUUGGGCGUAAAGAGUUCGUAGGCGGCACUUUAAGUCUGGUGGUAAAGCGACAGGUUCAACUUCUGAACGGCAGUGUAUACUUGGGGACUCGAUUGCGGUAGAGGUAAACGGAAUUACUGGAGUAGCGGUGAAAUGCUUAGAUAUAAGGUGGAACAUCGAUGGCGUAAGCGCUUUACUGGGCCGUAAUUGACGCUGAGGAACGAAAGCCAGGGUAGCAAAUGGGAUUAGAUACCCGAGUAGUC